This 1346-nucleotide ribosomal RNA is filed under the name metagenome. RNAcentral's name for it is "bacterial SSU rRNA". It matches the Rfam family "Archaeal small subunit ribosomal RNA". The record is from RNAcentral.
UCAGUAACACGUCGUUAACCUAACCUAAAGUCUGGGAUAGCCUUGGGAAACUGAGGGUAAACCCGGAUAGGGAAAUUCUUCUGGAAUGAUUUUUUCCUUAAAAGCAAUGCUUUGGGAUGGGACGGCGGCUGAUUAGGCUGUUGGCGGGGUAACGGCCCACCAAACCGAUGAUCAGUAUGGGCCCUGGAAGGGGGCGCCCAGAGAGGGGCACUGAAAUACUGGCCCCAGCCCUAAGGGGUGCAGCAGGCGCGGAAACUUUACAAUGCACGAAAGUGCGAUAAGGGAACUUCAAGUGCUCAUGUUCUACAUGAGCUUUUUGCCAAAGGCAAGGUCUUUGGCGAAUAAGUGGUGGGUAAGACUGGUGCCAGCCGCCGCGGUAACCCCAGCGCCACAAGUGGGAGCCACGAUUAUUGGGCCUAAAGCGUCCGUAGCCGGCCUGUCAAAUCUCUUGUGAAAUCGACUUGCUCAACCUGUCGGCGAGCAGGAGACACUAACAGGCUAGGGACUGGGAGGAGUCAGAGGUAUUCCUUGGGGAGCGGUAAAAUGUGAUAAUCCUUGGAAGACCACCUGUGGUGAAGGCGUCUGACUAGAACAGCUCCGACGGUGAGGGACGAAAGCCAGGGGAGCAAAACGGAUUAGAUACCCGAGUAGUCCUGGCCGUAAACUCUGUGAGCUAGGUGUUGCGCAUUCUUAGAGAUUGCGCAGUGUCAAAAUGAAGGUGUUAAGCUCACCGCCUGGGAAGUAUGGUCGCAAGGCUGAAACUUAAAGGAAUUGGCGGGGGAGCACCACAAGGGGUGCGGCGUGCGGUUUAAUCCGACUCAACGCGCAAAAUCUUACCAGGAACGACGGCAGGAUGAAAGUCAGUCUAAAGGGCUUACUUGACGAGCCGAGAGGUAGUGCAUGGCCGUCGCCAGCUCGUGCCGUGAGGUGUCCUCUUAAGUGAGGUAACGAGCGAGACCUGUACCUACAGUUGCUAUCGAGCUCUGCGUUCGGGCACACUGUAGGGACUGCCUUGGAGACAAGGAGGAAGGUGCAGGCUACGGUAGGUCUGUAUGCUCCGAAUUCCCUGGGCUACACGCGCGCAACAAUGGUUGGGACAAUGGGAUGCAACUCCGAAAGGAGGAGCUAAACCUCAAAACCCAAUCCAAGUACGGAUCGAGGGCUGGAACUCGCCCUCGUGACGUUGGAAUCCCUAGUAAUCGGGGGUCAUCAUCUCCCAGUGAAUGUGUCCCUGCUCCUUGCACACACCGCCCGUCAAACCAACCGAGCAGGCUAUAGAUGAGUCUAGUUUUCAUUGAACUAGCCGAAUCUACAGUCAGUGAGGUGGGUUAAGUCGUCACAAGGUA